AAGAUUUUAAGUUAUUUAAACUAACAUCCUUCAAAGUUGUAAAAAAAAGUUAAUCUUUUAAAUCUUA
This 67-nucleotide transfer RNA is filed under the name Thalassina kelanang. RNAcentral's name for it is "tRNA-Trp". Lineage: Eukaryota; Metazoa; Arthropoda; Malacostraca; Decapoda; Thalassinidae. The record is from RNAcentral.